UGUCUUCACAUCGUAAUAGCCAAUGCUUUUAAAUUUACAUAUUUUAGAAUCAGUUCCUUUCCUGGUAACUGCAUUUCUAAAUGAAAUCAUCGUGAGUAGUGAGUGCUGAGCAGGCUGUUUUACUAUAAACAAAUUUUAGGAAUUGUUAUUAAUUAAACAACUUUGAAAAAUAUAUCGUUGCACAUUCGGUCACAGUCGGAA
This is a non-coding RNA of Paramuricea clavata, 201 nucleotides long. NCBI's taxonomy places the organism in Eukaryota, Metazoa, Cnidaria, Anthozoa, Malacalcyonacea, Plexauridae. The record is from the annotation of a GenBank genome assembly.